CUGGUUUGGGUCCCCGACGUUUUGGAAUGCUACUGUUAUGAUGACACAAGUUGUUUGGUCGUUUUGUAGCUCGGUUGUGGGCUCGUUGUGGCUCCGCUCGUUAUUGGUUUCGCUGUUGGAUAUGUUUCCCAAGAGGAUCAUGUCAGCUCUCUUUUGAGGCACUGGAGGAGGCGAGCUCGGUGAUUCUUCUUCGGUUUCCCGAGCUCUCUUGUUAGAGGCUGGCUUAGAUUUCGUGUUGCCUUUUGGGGUUAUUGGGGCUUCUUCCUUUUUGGAGUCUUCACCGUUUUCUUCUUCUUCGUUUUU
RNAcentral lists this long non-coding RNA (303 nucleotides) under Brassica napus (rape). RNAcentral's name for it is "long non-coding RNA (BNAP_LNC011693)". The record is from RNAcentral. Lineage: Eukaryota; Viridiplantae; Streptophyta; Magnoliopsida; Brassicales; Brassicaceae.